This 253-nucleotide ribosomal RNA is filed under the name uncultured bacterium. RNAcentral describes it as "partial 16S ribosomal RNA". It matches the Rfam family "Bacterial small subunit ribosomal RNA", at positions 524 to 776 of the family's 1533-position model. The record is from RNAcentral.
GACGUAGGGCGCGAGCGUUGUCCGGAUUUAUUGGGCGUAAAGAGCUCGUAGGCGGCUUGUCGCGUCGACUGUGAAAACCCGCGGCUCAACUGCGGGUCUGCAGUCGAUACGGGCAGGCUAGAGUUCGGUAGGGGAGACUGGAAUUCCUGGUGUAGCGGUGAAAUGCGCAGAUAUCAGGAGGAACACCGAUGGCGAAGGCAGGUCUCUGGGCCGAUACUGACGCUGAGGAGCGAAAGCGUGGGGAGCGAACAGG